GGAUGUGAGGGCGAUCUGGCUGCAACAUCUGUCACUCCAUUGAUCGCCAGGGUUGAUUUGGCUCAUCUGGCUGGCUAGGCAGGUGUCCCCUUCCUCCCUCACCGCUCCAUGUGCGUCCCUCCCAAAGCUGUGCGCUCGGUCAAAGAGGACGACCUUCCCCGCAAGAGGAGGACCGGACUGCGCUCCCCUGCUAGAACCUCCAAACAAGCUCUCAAAGUCCAUAGUAGAUUAAAAACAAAAAUAAAAGACUUUUUAUGCAGAGGAGCACAGUGAGAGGAACACCAAGUUUCUGCCU
Molecule: small nuclear RNA, 295 nt
Filed under: Oryctolagus cuniculus (rabbit)
Lineage: Eukaryota; Metazoa; Chordata; Mammalia; Lagomorpha; Leporidae
Description: 7SK RNA
Rfam family: 7SK RNA
About the family: 7SK was discovered as an abundant small nuclear RNA in the mid-70s but a possible function has only recently been suggested.
Source: Rfam by way of RNAcentral